ACUUUGCUUUAAGUGUAGCUGCUUGGGUACUACGAGCGUGUGCUUAAAACUCAAAGAACUUGGCGGCUUGUUAACUACCUAGGGGAAUAUGCGCCUUAAUCCGAUGAUCCCCGUUACAUCUUACUGGGCCUUGAAAAAGUGCAGCUGGUGUAUUGCCGUUGUCAGCUUGUUGUUUGAGCAGAGCGAAACAGGCUUAAUGGAUCUUGGUGAUUAGACUCACAGGAAGCCGUGAAUUCAGGUCGUAAUACUGCCUAUGGCUCAAGGGAGUGGGUGUUACAACUCAGAAUUAGAAUUACGGAUCUUUAGUGUGAAAGCUUAAGGUGAAGGUGAACUUAGGAGUAAGGGAAAAUUAACAUGUUCCCCUGAACGUGAAUCUAACUCGUGUACAAACUGCC
RNAcentral lists this ribosomal RNA (395 nucleotides) under Aequipecten glyptus. Its description in RNAcentral is "partial 12S ribosomal RNA". It matches the Rfam family "Bacterial small subunit ribosomal RNA", at positions 874 to 1394 of the family's 1533-position model. The record is from RNAcentral. Lineage: Eukaryota; Metazoa; Mollusca; Bivalvia; Pectinida; Pectinidae.